Molecule: ribosomal RNA, 714 nt
Filed under: Bacillus sp. (in: firmicutes)
Lineage: Bacteria; Bacillati; Bacillota; Bacilli; Caryophanales; Bacillaceae
Description: bacterial SSU rRNA
Rfam family: Bacterial small subunit ribosomal RNA
Source: RNAcentral
AUGCAGUCGAGCGGACAGAUGGGAGCUUGCUCCCUGAUGUUAGCGGCGGACGGGUGAGUAACACGUGGGUAACCUGCCUGUAAGACUGGGAUAACUCCGGGAAACCGGGGCUAAUACCGGAUGGUUGUUUGAACCGCAUGGUUCAAACAUAAAAGGUGGCUUCGGCUACCACUUACAGAUGGACCCGCGGCGCAUUAGCUAGUUGGUGAGGUAACGGCUCACCAAGGCAACGAUGCGUAGCCGACCUGAGAGGGUGAUCGGCCACACUGGGACUGAGACACGGCCCAGACUCCUACGGGAGGCAGCAGUAGGGAAUCUUCCGCAAUGGACGAAAGUCUGACGGAGCAACGCCGCGUGAGUGAUGAAGGUUUUCGGAUCGUAAAGCUCUGUUGUUAGGGAAGAACAAGUACCGUUCGAAUAGGGCGGUACCUUGACGGUACCUAACCAGAAAGCCACGGCUAACUACGUGCCAGCAGCCGCGGUAAUACGUAGGUGGCAAGCGUUGUCCGGAAUUAUUGGGCGUAAAGGGCUCGCAGGCGGUUUCUUAAGUCUGAUGUGAAAGCCCCCGGCUCAACCGGGGAGGGUCAUUGGAAACUGGGGAACUUGAGUGCAGAAGAGGAGAGUGGAAUUCCACGUGUAGCGGUGAAAUGCGUAGAGAUGUGGAGGAACACCAGUGGCGAAAGGCGACUCUCUGGUCUGUAACUGACGCUCAGA